This 82-nucleotide small RNA is filed under the name Bacteroides sp. CAG:189. RNAcentral describes it as "Bacteroides-1 RNA". It matches the Rfam family "Bacteroides-1 RNA". Lineage: Bacteria; Pseudomonadati; Bacteroidota; Bacteroidia; Bacteroidales; Bacteroidaceae. The record is from Rfam by way of RNAcentral.
GUGCAAAUCGGCCUGAAACUUUUUUAUGUGUAUGCGAAUAUCCAUGGAAAGUACAUAUGCCUCUCGGCAUAGACAGGUAAGA